GGGCGAGUGGUGGAAUGGUAUACACGAUCGACUUAAGAUCGAUUGCCGUAAGGCAUGAGGGUUCAAGUCCCUCCUCGCCCA
This 81-nucleotide transfer RNA is filed under the name Candidatus Taylorbacteria bacterium RIFCSPLOWO2_12_FULL_47_20. RNAcentral's name for it is "tRNA-Leu". It matches the Rfam family "tRNA". Rfam says of the family: Transfer RNA (tRNA) molecules are approximately 80 nucleotides in length. Their secondary structure includes four short double-helical elements and three loops (D, anti-codon, and T loops). The record is from RNAcentral. Lineage: Bacteria; Candidatus Tayloriibacteriota.